AAGUCGAAGAGACUGCUUUCAAAAGUAAAAAUGCAACUUCUAACAGUGUAAUUCAACCUUUCAGCUGCCAGAGGAGGAUGAUGAUGGCAGUGGUGACCGAGGUGACUGUGCAGCUCAGGAUGAAAAAGAGGAACAACAUCUUCCAGUUUGCCAAAAUCCAAAGUGAAUAUAUAGAGACCAUCCUCCUAUCCUUGCCUCAGAAGAACCUGAGAAAGACACUCUUCCUCUUCACUCACAGCUCUCCAUCAUCUACCUCUGCAACACUGUUGGAAAGAGUGUUCUACACAGCUGAGGACACGGAGAGAUCUCAAAUUCUUCCUGAGAAUGAGAGAUCUCAAAUUCUUCCUGAGAAAGUCCACAUGUUCAUUUUCUUGAACAAAAACUGUACAUGUAUUUUUGGGUGGGCCAAACUAUUAUUUGAAGAAAUGUUAAAAAAAAAAAAAUCUUUAUAUUGUUCUUUAUACAUAUCUUUUAUUCUUUAUAAAUGUCAUCUUCUGGAUUUUUUUUUAGCUUUUGAGAAGCUCAAGGACUGUAUAUCUUUGGUAAUUGUGAUAUUGUCUGGCAGUAAAGCAGUAUUAAAGCACAUUACCUCAGUA
This is a long non-coding RNA of Megalobrama amblycephala (Wuchang bream), 596 nucleotides long. RefSeq lists it as uncharacterized. The record is from RefSeq and is a predicted model, not a curated record. The transcript has 2 exons. Lineage: Eukaryota; Metazoa; Chordata; Actinopteri; Cypriniformes; Xenocyprididae.